GAGAGGAGCGAGCGACUCCUGCGCAAGCGCAGAGUGAAGGGCCGGGAACAGUGGAGGGUGCGAGGAAGACAAUGGGGGAGGACCCUGAGGCGGCCUCUGUGAGCCGACAGGAACACGUGGUCGAUCAGAGAGAGACUCGAGGUUCGUGAACGGAUGGGGAGGACCCUGAAAAGCACUGUGGAAUACAGGUUUCUAGUAACUUCAAAAUCACAUCAUUUGGACUGGGUAAGAAUUGCUGAAACUUUAAUGAAAAGACUGACUGGCUUAUAAAACUGCUAACCCAAAUAGAAUAAAAAUUAAUUGAAUACCGAGGAAAUACUUCACCAGGUUUGCAUACUUAAUCAGCCUAUACUGAAAUUGUUUAGAUAUACAAUUUGAAUGAACUCCAUGGUCUAAGUCAAAUUACCUGUGAUAACCCAUCAGUUAUCCAUGCUAUGUGCCCAAUUUGGAGAAACAACUGGCACCCAAGAGGACAUAAGUCCGAUGUUAAGCAUGGACUCAUGGAGAACCAAGAUGGCUGCCUUGUCCUUCGUGAGUCCUUAAAGCUUUUGUUAUUAAAAGUUAUGCAUUCCAUGACUCAUCCUGGAAAAGAUAAAAUGAUCCAAAUUAAAUAUGUUGGUGUGGUGACUUACAGAUUGUUAAAAUAGUUUAUAAACAAUGUUUAGUUUGUCAAACCCAUACUCCUGGGAAGUCAAUCAAAGCUUCAUGUACAUUUGGCUACCUGAUGAGGCAUUUAAACAUUUAUA
RNAcentral lists this unclassified non-coding RNA (746 nucleotides) under Homo sapiens (human). RNAcentral describes it as "long intergenic non-protein coding RNA 3015 (ENSG00000282226.1)". The record is from RNAcentral. Lineage: Eukaryota; Metazoa; Chordata; Mammalia; Primates; Hominidae.